UACAUUUUGAGGGGAAAAAAUCGAAAAAAAAAACAUUGGUAUUAUUGUUUUUUUCUCUCUCGUUAAAGUUUUUUCCUUCAGUCUCCAAUCACCCCUCUCUCUCCAACACCACCCACGCCGCCGAAGCAAUAAACGUGAUGGGUUCCCGGUGAGUCGGACAAACAAACUCCCACUGUGAUUGGGAGACAACAAAAUCUGUGAUUGGAUAAAUCUGGUGCACUAUUCUUUUCCGGUGAGUCGCACGAUGCAAAUCUAUUAUACCCAUCCUAUUUUUUUAGUAUUUUGUAGUUUUCCAAGAUGGUCAAGGGAAAACAAAAUGGCGUUCGACCCUUCCGACCAAAUUCCCAUUGUUCUGCUGCAAAAAAUUUAAAUCUGGAUAAAUUUUCAGAAUUCAAAUUUCACAGCGUAAAAAUCGUCACUGUAGUCCUUACAUUUAACAAAAUGGUGUGAUCUUAGUGUUUCACUAUACCUGUUUUUAGUUCAGUGAGGGACUAAAUCCGCAUUACUUUUAUAAGGAGUAAAGUAAUAAUAAUUUUAUAAGGAUAUCAUGAUAUUUUAAGACAAUAUAUUUAACUCAUCUUUUCAUUGAUGAUACUGGUGAAAAUUUGUGCAAUUACAAUGAAAUCAAUCGAUGGCGUUGGCUAAAAAAACACUUCUCAUGGAACUCAACUAAAUUGGAUCAAACAAUUAGAUGAUACAACUUGCAUGCCUUUUAAAUAUCAAAUUAUUGCCAGGGUUAUAACUUUCUUGUGAAGACAACAAUAGCUCACUACUUACAAUUACCAUGAGCUUGCAAUUGCAUGAGUCCUAGUGCCUAGUUACUUGGUUUAUUAUAGAAACCUUAGACUAAAGUUUUCUGUGUGUAGCACAAGCUGGAGCAUCAAAGUUGGGGUAUACAACAAAUGCAAUGGACAAAGGAGUCAUGUAUAUUGGAGAUCGCACGUUAUUGCGCACUGGAUCCAACGGUGGAAGAUCUCC
This 978-nucleotide long non-coding RNA is filed under the name Glycine max (soybean). RNAcentral describes it as "long non-coding RNA (GMAX_LNC000856)". Lineage: Eukaryota; Viridiplantae; Streptophyta; Magnoliopsida; Fabales; Fabaceae. The record is from RNAcentral.